GGAGGAAAGCAGGGGAUCGCAAGACCUUGCACUUUUGGAGCGGCCGAUGUCUGAUUAGCUAGUUGGUGGGGUAAUGGCCUACCAAAGCUUCGAUCAGUAGCUGGUCUGAGAGGACGGCCAGCCACACUGGGACUGAGACACGGCCCAGACUCCUACGGGAGGCAGCAGUGGGGAAUUUUGGACAAUGGGCGCAAGCCUGAUCCAGCCAUGCCGCGUGAGUGAAGAAGGCCUUCGGGUUGUAAAGCUCUUUCAGCCGGGAAGAAACGGUCNCGGUUAAUAGCUGUGNCUAAUNACGGUACCGGAAGAAGNAGCACCGGCUANCUACGUGCCNGCAGCCGCGNUAACACGUANGGUGCGAGCGUUAAUCGGAAUUACCUGGGCCGUAAAGGGUGCCGCAGGCGGUUCUGUAAGUCAGCAUGUGAANUCCCCGACGCUUNACCCUGGGAACUUGNGNUUGANACUCGC
RNAcentral lists this ribosomal RNA (465 nucleotides) under uncultured bacterium. Its description in RNAcentral is "partial 16S ribosomal RNA". It matches the Rfam family "Bacterial small subunit ribosomal RNA", at positions 198 to 636 of the family's 1533-position model. The record is from RNAcentral.